Molecule: ribosomal RNA, 446 nt
Filed under: uncultured bacterium
Lineage: Bacteria
Description: bacterial SSU rRNA
Rfam family: Bacterial small subunit ribosomal RNA
Source: RNAcentral
GUGAGGAAUAUUGGUCAAUGGGCGAGAGCCUGAACCAGCCAAGUAGCGUGCAGGACGACGGCCCUAUGGGUUGUAAACUGCUUUUAUACGGGGAUAAAGUGGGCCAUGCAUGGCCUUUUGCAUGUACCGUAUGAAUAAGGACCGGCUAAUUCCGUGCCAGCAGCCGCGGUAAUACGGAAGGUCCGGGCGUUAUCCGGAUUUAUUGGGUUUAAAGGGAGCGCAGGCGGACAGUUAAGCGUGACGUGAAAUGCAGCGGCUCAACCGUAUGAAGUGCGUCGCGAACUGGCAGUCUUGAGUGAGUACGAUGUAGGCGGAAUUUGUGGUGUAGCGGUGAAAUGCUUAGAUAUCACGAAGAACUCCGAUUGCGAAGGCAGCCUACAAGUCCUUUACUGACGCUAAAGCUCGAAGGUGCGGGUAUCGAACAGGAUUAGAAACCCUAGUAGUCC